CUUACAUAAUUAAUAUAAUAGCAGUUAAAACAACAUGUUAUAUAAAAUAAUAACAUGCUAACAUAUUUAAUAUCUAGAUAAUAUUUGUAUGAACGUGCCAUCUCAAUCCACGUUUUCAUUCACGCCACCUCUUUUUUUGUCAACUCACCAAUACUGAUUUUAAUAUCUUUGUUUCGAUUUGAUUUUAUGUUUCCAUUAUUAUUCUUAUAGUUUUGUAUCGUCAGAAAUUAAAUAAAAGAGAAACAAAAGAAAGAAAAAAAGAAAAGAGAGAAAAGGGGUAAAAGAGUCAAAAAGAGGAUGAUAAAAAGAGGAUAAACAAAAAAGAGGAUGAUAGUGACAUGUGCACAGUGAUCAAGUGGUCAACCUAAUUAAUGAGUCGUUCAUGUAUAUCUAUUGAUAUUACCCUAAAAUUUAAAGAUGUGAUUCAACUAAAUAAAAUAAGUUUAUUAC
RNAcentral lists this small RNA (450 nucleotides) under Arabidopsis thaliana (thale cress). RNAcentral describes it as "ATSL088260". Lineage: Eukaryota; Viridiplantae; Streptophyta; Magnoliopsida; Brassicales; Brassicaceae. The record is from RNAcentral.